AUUGAACGCUGGCGGCAUGCUUUACACAUGCAAGUCGAGCGGUAACAGGCCUUCGGGUGUCGUCGAGUGGUGAAGGGGUGCGUAUUGCUAAGGAACGUACACCGUGGCUGGGGGUAACGCAGAGCUAGGUGUGAUCAUACCGCAUGUGAUCUGAGGUUGCAAGCGGGGUGCUUCGCAGCAAAGAUUGGCCUCGCCCCUUUGGUGCGGCUGGUGUUGGAUCAGCUAGUUGGUGGGGUAAAGGCCUACCAAGGCCACGAACCGUAGCUGAUCUGAGAGGACGACCAGCCACACUGGAACUGAGACACGGCCCAGACUCCUACGGGAGGCAGCAGUAGGGAAUUUUGGGCAAUGGGCGCAAGCCUGAUGCAGCAAUGCCGCGUGCGUGAAGAAGGUCUUCGGAUUGUAAACCGCUGUUAGCAGGGACGAAACAGUGUCCGCGAAUACCGGGCGGUAAUGACGGUACCUGCAGAGUAAGCACCGGCUAACUACGUG
Molecule: ribosomal RNA, 492 nt
Filed under: uncultured bacterium
Lineage: Bacteria
Description: partial 16S ribosomal RNA
Rfam family: Bacterial small subunit ribosomal RNA
Source: RNAcentral